CGCUAUCACUCCUACGGGGAGGCAGCAGUGGGGAAUAUUGCACAAUGGGGGGAAACCCUGAUGCAGCCAUGCCGCGUGUGUGAAGGAGGCCUUCGGGUUGUAAAGCACUUUCAGUAGGGAGGAAGGUAGUGUAGUUAACACCUGCACUAUUUGACGUUACCUACAGAAGAAGCACCGGCUAACUCCGUGCCAGCAGCCGCGGUAAUACGGAGGGUGCGAGCGUUAAUCGGAAUUACUGGGCGUAAAGCGCAUGCAGGCGGCCUGUUAAGUCAGAUGUGAAAGCCCGGGGCUUAACCUCGGAAUUGCAUUUGAAACUGGCAGGCUAGAGUCUUGUAGAGGGGGGUAGGAAUUUCAGGUGUAGCGGUGAAAUGCGUAGAGAUCUGAAGGAAUACCAGUGGCGAAGGCGGCCCCCUCGGACAAAGACUGACGCUCAGAUGCGAAAGCGUGGGGAGCAAACAGGAUUAGAUACCCUGGUAG
RNAcentral lists this ribosomal RNA (477 nucleotides) under uncultured bacterium. RNAcentral describes it as "bacterial SSU rRNA". It matches the Rfam family "Bacterial small subunit ribosomal RNA", at positions 328 to 793 of the family's 1533-position model. The record is from RNAcentral.